UGGCGGCGUGCUUAACACAUGCAAGUCGAACGGAAAGGCCCUUCGGGGUACUCGAGUGGCGAACGGGUGAGUAACACGUGGGUGAUCUGCCCUGCACUCUGGGAUAAGCCUGGGAAACUGGGUCUAAUACCGGAUAGGACCACACACUUCAUGGUGAGUGGUGCAAAGCUUUUGCGGUGUGGGAUGAGCCCGCGGCCUAUCAGCUUGUUGGUGGGGUAAUGGCCCACCAAGGCGACGACGGGUAGCCGGCCUGAGAGGGUGACCGGCCACACUGGGACUGAGAUACGGCCCAGACUCCUACGGGAGGCAGCAGUGGGGAAUAUUGCACAAUGGGCGCAAGCCUGAUGCAGCGACGCCGCGUGAGGGAUGACGGCCUUCGGGUUGUAAACCUCUUUCAGUAGGGACGAAGCGAAAGUGACGGUACCUACAGAAGAAGGACCGGCCAACUACGUGCCAGCAGCCGCGGUAAUACGUAGGGUCCGAGCGUUGUCCGGAAUUACUGGGCGUAAAGAGCUCGUAGGUGGUUUGUCGCGUUGUUCGUGAAAACUCACAGCUUAACUGUGGGCGUGCGGGCGAUACGGGCAGACUAGAGUACUGCAGAGGAGACUGGAAUUCCUGGUGUAGCGGUGGAAUGCGCAGAUAUCAGGAGGAACACCGGUGGCGAAGGCGGGUCUCUGGGCAGUAACUGACGCUGAGGAGCGAAAGCGUGGGUAGCGAACAGGAUUAGAUACCCUGGUAGUCCACGCCGUAAACGGUGGGUACUAGGUGUGGGUUUCCUUCCUUGGGAUCCGUGCCGUAGCUAACGCAUUAAGUACCCCGCCUGGGGAGUACGGUCGCAAGACUAAAACUCAAAGGAAUUGACGGGGGCCCGCACAAGCGGCGGAGCAUGUGGAUUAAUUCGAUGCAACGCGAAGAACCUUACUUGGGUUUGACAUGCACAGGACGUACCUAGAGAUAGGUAUUCCCUUGUGGCCUGUGUGCAGGUGGUGCAUGGCUGUCGUCAGCUCGUGUCGUGAGAUGUUGGGUUAAGUCCCGCAACGAGCGCAACCCUUGUCCUAUGUUGCCAGCGGGUAAUGCCGGGGACUCGUAGGAGACUGCCGGGGUCAACUCGGAGGAAGGUGGGGAUGACGUCAAGUCAUCAUGCCCCUUAUGUCCAGGGCUUCACACAUGCUACAAUGGCCAGUACAGAGGGCUGCGAAGCCGCAAGGUGGAGCGAAUCCCUUAAAGCUGGUCUCAGUUCGGAUUGGGGUCUGCAACUCGACCCCAUGAAGUCGGAGUCGCUAGUAAUCGCAGAUCAGCAACGCUGCGGUGAAUACGUUCCCGGGCCUUGUACACACCGCCCGUCACGUCAUGAAAGUCGGUAACACCCGAAGCCAGUGGCCUAACCUUUUGGAGGGAGCUGUCGAAGGUGGGAUCGGCGAUUGGGACGA
Molecule: ribosomal RNA, 1430 nt
Filed under: uncultured bacterium
Lineage: Bacteria
Description: bacterial SSU rRNA
Rfam family: Bacterial small subunit ribosomal RNA
Source: RNAcentral